Molecule: ribosomal RNA, 492 nt
Filed under: uncultured bacterium
Lineage: Bacteria
Description: partial 16S ribosomal RNA
Rfam family: Bacterial small subunit ribosomal RNA
Source: RNAcentral
AGUGAACGCUGGCGGUAGGCCUAACACAUGCCAGUCGAACGGCAGCACAGUAAGAGCUUGCUCUUACGGGUGGCGAGUGGCGGACGGGUGAGGAAUACAUCGGAAUCUACUUUUUCGUGGGGGAUAACGUAGGGAAACUUACGCUAAUACCGCAUACGACCUACGGGUGAAAGCAGGGGAUCUUCGGACCUUGCGCGAUUGAAUGAGCCGAUGUCGGAUUAGCUAGUUGGCGGGGUAAAGGCCCACCAAGGCGACGAUCCGUAGCUGGUCUGAGAGGAUGAUCAGCCACACUGGAACUGGAACACGGUCCAGACUCCUACGGGAGGCAGCAGUGGGGAAUAUUGGACAAUGGGCGCAAGCCUGAUCCAGCCAUACCGCGUGGGUGAAGAAGGCCUUCGGGUUGUAAAGCCCUUUUGUUGGGAAAGAAAAGCAGCAGGUUAAUACCCCGCUGUUCUGACGGUACCCAAAGAAUAAGCACCGGCUAACUUCGUG